RNAcentral lists this non-coding RNA (23 nucleotides) under Cricetulus griseus (Chinese hamster). The record is from RNAcentral. Lineage: Eukaryota; Metazoa; Chordata; Mammalia; Rodentia; Cricetidae.
UAAGGGCACAGAGAAUGCGGUAC